UUUACUACUUUCAGAUUCAUAUUCGUGUAUGUCAUUUUGU
This 40-nucleotide non-coding RNA is filed under the name Plasmodium falciparum 3D7. The record is from RNAcentral. Lineage: Eukaryota; Apicomplexa; Aconoidasida; Haemosporida; Plasmodiidae.